Non-coding RNA from Pelobates cultripes (western spadefoot toad), 84 nucleotides. The record is from the annotation of a GenBank genome assembly. NCBI's taxonomy places the organism in Eukaryota, Metazoa, Chordata, Amphibia, Anura, Pelobatidae.
GUGUGUGUAUAUAAUGCAGUGUGUUUGUGUAGUGUGCAUUAUAUAAACACACUACACAAACACACUGCAUUAUAUACAGUGUGU